Molecule: ribosomal RNA, 548 nt
Filed under: uncultured archaeon
Lineage: Archaea
Description: bacterial SSU rRNA
Rfam family: Archaeal small subunit ribosomal RNA
Source: RNAcentral
GGGUGCCCAGGCGCGAAACCUUUGCAAUACACGAAAGUGUGACAGGGUCAUCCCGAGUGCCGACCGCUGAGGUUGGCUUUUACCCAGUCUAGAAAGCUGGGGGAAUAAGGAGAGGGCAAGUCUGGUGUCAGCCGCCGCGGUAAUACCAGCUCUCCGAGUGGUGUGGACGUUUAUUGGGCCUAAAGCAUCCGUAGCUGGCUGAACAAGUCCCCUGUUAAACCCACCGAUUUAAUCGUUGGCUUGCGGGGGAUACUGCUCGGCUAGGGGACGAGAGAGGCAGACGGUAUUCCCGGGGUAGGGGUGAAAUCCUAUAAUCCCGAGAAGACCACCAGUGGCGAAGGCUGUCUGCUAGAACGCGCCCGACGGUGAGGGAUGAAAGCUGGGGGAGCGAACCGGAUUAGAUACCCGGGUAGUCCCAGCUGUAAACGAUGCAGACUAGGUGUUUGGACGGCCACGUGCCGUUCUAGUGCCGCAGGGAAGCUGUUAAGUCUGCCGCCUGGGGAGUACGAUCGCAAGAUUGAAACUUAAAGGAAUUGGCGGGGGAGCAC